AGCUUUGCGGGGUGGGCAGUCAGC
Molecule: microRNA, 24 nt
Filed under: Danio rerio (zebrafish)
Lineage: Eukaryota; Metazoa; Chordata; Actinopteri; Cypriniformes; Danionidae
Also listed under: 1 other name
Description: dre-miR-19d-5p
Gene: dre-miR-19d-5p
Source: miRBase by way of RNAcentral